CCCAGUUACUAUGGAAAUUGCAAGUGAUCUGGUGGAUAGGCAAGGGCCCAUAUACAGAGAAGAUACUGCUGUUUUUGUUAGUCAGUCUGGUGAAACUGCUGAUACUCUACUUGCUUUCGAAUAUGCUUUAGAAAAUGGGGCUUUGUGUGUUGGCAUAACAAAUACUGUUGGUAGUGCCAUAGCCAGGCAUACACACUGUGGUGUUCAUAUAAAUGCUGGGGCUGAAAUUGGUGUGGCGAGUACCAAGGCCUACACGAGUCAAAUAGUAGUUAUGGCCAUGUUAGCUCUAGCAAUUGGAGGCGAUGCUAUUUCUAGUCAAGCAAGGAGAGAAGCUAUAAUAGAUGGUCUAUUUGACUUGCCAAACAGAGUCAGAGAGGUUCUGAAGCUUGACCACGAGAUGAAGGAUCUUGCAAAGCUAUUAAUGGCUGAGCAAUCACUUCUUGUGUUUGGGAGAGGAUACAACUAUGCAACAGCUUUGGAGGGGGCUCUGAAAGUGAAGGAAGUGGCACUUAUGCACAGUGAAGGAAUGCU
Molecule: unclassified non-coding RNA, 531 nt
Filed under: Hevea brasiliensis (rubber tree)
Lineage: Eukaryota; Viridiplantae; Streptophyta; Magnoliopsida; Malpighiales; Euphorbiaceae
Source: RNAcentral